UCUAUAUAUAUAUAUAAAACCGAAGCUUUUGAAGCUUCCACAAUUUUCCACGUCAGCACGCAUUAAAAAAAUAAUAAUAAAACAAAAAACAAUAAAACCAAAACCAAAAACAAAAACGUCAAAAACCCAUUCCCUACCCGACUCUGCCUUUUCUUUCCAUGCUUUCCCUUUCACGAAUACUCUGCCAUCAGCUCCUCCUCAAUAACACCCACGGCAAGCCAAUCAGACCCACGGCAAUUCAACACCCAACCCAUCCAGCCUACCUUUCCCGAUCCUCUGCCUCUCCCUCUCCACGGCAAGACCCAACAGACACCUUCUUCAGACCACCGAUUUGCCACAAACUUCUUCAGACCAUCGAUUUCGUGGCUUUCCUACACCCAACCCAUCCGGCCUACCUUUCCCGAUCCACAAACUGACCACCGAUUUGCCACAAACUUCUUCAGACCAUCGAUUUCGUGGCUUUCCUAUUGUCUUUAAUUAGGGAAACACUCAUAGAAAUUAAAAUUCUACAGGUUUUGUAAGAAAGUGGAGAUGUAUUGAAGAGCCUCCCAACCUUCAAAAUCUGACAACAAUCCGGUUUUGCUUUACCUUCAGUGUAGUUAUUAUAUCAAAGAAUGGAGAUUGGAGAGCCAAAUCUGAAUCCCAGCGCUAAAAUCAAAGAAUCUGCAAUUGAAGCCAGCCUUCUUUGAAGAGCAAAUUCUAAACCCGAGGUUUAAAGGAAAGAAAUGAGAUUUUAGAAGGAGAAAGCUUGGGUCAAAAUUGUCUAAUUGCAGUUGCUAUUGGCUUAUGUGUAAAUUAAAUGUCUAGAAAAAAGAUAGAUGUGGCAAUAGUGUUUAUUGAAAUUCUUGACGCAUUGAAUGUUUAGGAGCACGAUCUCCAAAAAUACAGUAGAGCGAAAAUUAGAUUCGUGU
Quercus robur (English oak) is the source of this 911-nucleotide long non-coding RNA. RefSeq lists it as uncharacterized. Lineage: Eukaryota; Viridiplantae; Streptophyta; Magnoliopsida; Fagales; Fagaceae. The record is from RefSeq and is a predicted model, not a curated record. The transcript has 4 exons.